AUGUAGCUCAGGGGCAAAGUGUUUGUCUAACAUACACAAGGUCCUGGGUUCAAUUCCCAGCAU
This 63-nucleotide transfer RNA is filed under the name Ictidomys tridecemlineatus (thirteen-lined ground squirrel). RNAcentral describes it as "Spermophilus tridecemlineatus (thirteen-lined ground squirrel) tRNA". It matches the Rfam family "tRNA", at positions 5 to 66 of the family's 71-position model. From Rfam's summary of the family: Transfer RNA (tRNA) molecules are approximately 80 nucleotides in length. Their secondary structure includes four short double-helical elements and three loops (D, anti-codon, and T loops). Further hydrogen bonds mediate the characteristic L-shaped molecular structure. tRNAs have two regions of fundamental functional importance: the anti-codon, which is responsible for specific mRNA codon recognition, and the 3' end, to which the tRNAs corresponding amino acid is attached (by aminoacyl-tRNA synthetases). tRNAs cope with the degeneracy of the genetic code in two manners: having more than one tRNA (with a specific anti-codon) for a particular amino acid; and 'wobble' base-pairing, i.e. permitting non-standard base-pairing at the 3rd anti-codon position. The record is from Rfam by way of RNAcentral. Lineage: Eukaryota; Metazoa; Chordata; Mammalia; Rodentia; Sciuridae.